GAUGAACGCUGGUGGUAUGCCUUACACAUGCAAGUUGUACGAAGGUUUUUUAAUCUUAAGUAGCGGACGGGUGAGUAACACGUAAGAAUUUACCUUCAGGAGGGGGAUAACAACUGGAAACAGUUGCUAAUACCCCAUAUGCUUUUUAGUGAAAUGGGAUUACCGCCUGAAGAGAAGCUUGCGGCUGAUUAGCUUGUUGGUAAGGUAAUGGCUUACCAAGGCGACGAUCAGUAUCUGGUUUGAGAGGACGAUCAGACACACUGGAACUGAGACACGGUCCAGACUCCUACGGGAGGCAGCAGUGGGGAAUUUUCCGCAAUGGGCGAAAGCCUGACGGAGCAAUACCGCGUGAGGGAAGAAAGCCCACAGGGUUGUAAACCUCUUUUAUCAAGGAAGAAGUUCUGACGUUACUUGAUGAAUAAGCAUCGGCUAACUCCGUGCCAGCAGCCGCGGUAAGACGGGGGAUGCAAGUGUUAUCCGGAAUCACUGGGCGUAAAGCGUUUGUAGGUGGUCUAGUAAGUCAACUGUUAAAUCUUGAAGCUCAACUUCGAAACUGCAGUCGAAACUGUUUAACUCGAGUAUAGUAGAGGUAAAGGGAAUUUCCAGUGGAGCGGUGAAAUGCGUAGAGAUUGGAAAGAACACCAAUGGCGAAAGCACUUUACUGGGCUAUAACUGACACUCAGAGACGAAAGCUAGGGUAGCAAAUGGGAUUAGAUACCCCAGUAGUCCUAGCCGUAAACAAUGGAUACUAUAUGUUGACCAGAUCGACCUGUGCAGUAUUAUAGCUAACGCGUUAAGUA
This 800-nucleotide ribosomal RNA is filed under the name uncultured cyanobacterium. RNAcentral describes it as "bacterial SSU rRNA". It matches the Rfam family "Bacterial small subunit ribosomal RNA", at positions 28 to 866 of the family's 1533-position model. The record is from RNAcentral. Lineage: Bacteria; Bacillati; Cyanobacteriota.